CCCGCACAAGCGGUGGAGCAUGUGGUUUAAUUCGACGCAACGCGAAGAACCUUACCAGGGCUUGACAUCCCCUGACCGCGUAUGAAAGUACGUUUUCACCUCGGGUGACAGGGAGACAGGUGGUGCAUGGUUGUCGUCAGCUCGUGUCGUGAGAUGUUGGGUUAAGUCCCGCAACGAGCGCAACCCCUACGUUUAGUUGCUAACGCGUGAAGGCGAGCACUCUAGACGAACUGCCGUUGACAAAACGGAGGAAGUGGGAUGACGUCAAAUCAUCAUGCCCCUUAUGUUCUGGGCUACACACGUGCUACAAUGGCCGGUACAGACGGACGCAAAGCCGCGAGGUGGAGCAAAUCCUAAAAAGCCGGUCUCAGUUCGGAUUGCAGGCUGCAAUUCGCCUGCAUGAAGUCGGAAUCGCUAGUAAUCGCAGGUCAGCAUACUGCGGUGAAUACGUUCCCGGGCCUU
Molecule: ribosomal RNA, 462 nt
Filed under: uncultured Pelotomaculum sp.
Lineage: Bacteria; Bacillati; Bacillota; Clostridia; Eubacteriales; Desulfotomaculaceae
Description: bacterial SSU rRNA
Rfam family: Bacterial small subunit ribosomal RNA
Source: RNAcentral